GUGGGGAAUAUUGCGCAAUGGGGGAAACCCUGACGCAGCGACGCCGCGUGGAGGAUGAAGGUCUUCGGGUUGUAAACUCCUUUUCUUAGGGAAAAUAAUGAUGGUACCUAAGGAAUAAGCCACGGCUAACUCUGUGCCAGCAGCCGCGGUAAGACAGAGGUGGCAAGCGUUGUUCGGAAUUACUGGGCUUAAAGGGCGAGUAGGCGGUGAGACAAGUCCGAGGUGGAAUCCUUUGGCUUAACCAGAGAACUGCCUUAGAUACUGUUUCACUUGAGUCAGUGAGGGGAGGGCGGAAUUCCCGGUGUAGCGGUGAAAUGCGUAGAUAUCGGGAGGAAGGCCAGUGGCGAAGGCGGCCCUCUGGUGCUGAACUGACGCUGAGGCGCGAAAGCGUGGGUAGCAAACAGGAUUAGAAACCCCUGUAGUCC
RNAcentral lists this ribosomal RNA (425 nucleotides) under uncultured bacterium. Its description in RNAcentral is "bacterial SSU rRNA". It matches the Rfam family "Bacterial small subunit ribosomal RNA", at positions 354 to 796 of the family's 1533-position model. The record is from RNAcentral.